Non-coding RNA from Cucurbita pepo subsp. pepo (vegetable marrow), 1064 nucleotides. The record is from RefSeq and is a predicted model, not a curated record. NCBI's taxonomy places the organism in Eukaryota, Viridiplantae, Streptophyta, Magnoliopsida, Cucurbitales, Cucurbitaceae.
GCAUUCUAUAUUAGGAGCACGGCGGAAGCAAGAGUUCGUCCCUUCGGGGACAUCCGAUAAAAUUGGAACGAUACAGAGAAGAUUAGCAUGGCCCCUGCGCAAGGAUGACACGCACAAAUCGAGAAAUGGUCCAAAUUUUUUUUUUCCCUGCCCCUCCUACGAUGGACCUGUAGUCGGAGGAUUUCUAUUUCAUCUUCCCUAUUCGAAUCGGGGCGAUAUUGCUUUGGCGUUCCUCCUGAUCUUGGGAUUCCUUGCUUAAUUCCAUUUCUGAGCUCCUUGCUUAGAAUUUCAAUGGCGAAAAUGUGGUUCCUCCUGAUCUUGGGAUUAUUCAAAAGAGGAAGACAAAGAAACCAGCAUUUCUGGUUACAGAGCUUGACCCAAAGAUGAACUAAUACCAACUCAAAAAUCUCCCGUACCUUUGAUCCAUUGAGCGAGAGCCCUUCCACACGGAACUCUCGAAUCACUAUGGGCAACGGAGAGUCCUUCCACGCGGAGCUCCCGGAUCACUAUGGGUGACUAGAGGUAAGCUUGAUGGUGCCAUCUUUGACUUGAAAUGAAACAUACAUUCAUACUGACUUUCUUAAUCAAUUGAUUUGCAGUUUUCAGUUAAGGAUUAUACAUCUUAUGUUAGCUCUAAAGGAAUAUUGGUUUGAUUACUUGCAACCCUUCAUCGCCUCCUUCGAACGGUCGUGGGCUCGCUUUCGCUGUCUGAGACUGGAUGAUUUCUGGGUUGGUAAUGCUCUUUCUUUUUCUUCAGAAACUAUUUCUUUACAUUGGAUAGAUCAAUGGCUACUGAACAUCUCGAAACAAAACCAAUCGGUUCGGUUGAACAUCGAUUUUCAAGUCGAUUGGUUCAGUCGGUUGAACAUCUUGGUAGAUUCCUAUUGAUUGAUUACUGUUUUGGUUGUAUUACAUAUCUAAGCUGAAGAAUUAAAGAGUUCUUCAAAUGAUGUGAAAAGUUAAAGAUUUCUUGUCCUCGUACCAUAUCUAAGCUGAAGAAUUAGAACCCAUUUUUGUAGAAGAAAGAGAGAAAAGAGUUGGGGGAAGUUCAUUCGUUAUGCUCA